RNAcentral lists this ribosomal RNA (635 nucleotides) under Rotylenchulus reniformis. RNAcentral's name for it is "SSU rRNA". It matches the Rfam family "Eukaryotic small subunit ribosomal RNA", at positions 1003 to 1664 of the family's 1831-position model. Lineage: Eukaryota; Metazoa; Nematoda; Chromadorea; Rhabditida; Hoplolaimidae. The record is from RNAcentral.
GGCGAUCAGAUACCGCCCUAGUUCUGACCGUAAACGAUGCCAACUAGCGAUCCGCCGGCGGAUUCAUUCGCCCUGGUGGGGAGCUUCCCGGAAACGAAAGUCUUCCGGUUCCGGGGGAAGUAUGGUUGCAAAGCUGAAACUUAAAGGAAUUGACGGAAGGGCACCACCAGGAGUGGAGCCUGCGGCUUAAUUUGACUCAACACGGGGAAACUCACCCGGCCCGGACACCGUAAGGAUUGACAGAUUGAUAGCUUUUUCAUGAUUCGGUGGAUGGUGGUGCAUGGCCGUUCUUAGUUCGUGGAGCGAUUUGUCUGGUUUAUUCCGAUAACUAGCGAGACUCUGGCCUACUAAAUAGUUGGCACAUUGCCACUGUGUGCACAACUUCUUAGAGGGAUUUUCGGUGUUCAGCCGCACGAAAUUGAGCAAUAACAGGUCUGUGAUGCCCUUAGAUGUCCGGGGCUGCACGCGCGCUACACUGGCAAAAUCAGCGUGCUUGUCCUCCCCCGAAAGGGGUUGGUAAACCGAUGAAAAUUUGCCGUGAUUGGGAUCGGACAUUGCAAUUAUUGUCCGUGAACGAGGAAUCCCUUGUAAGGGCGAGUCAUCAACUCGUCCUGAAUACGUCCCUGCCCUUUGUA